UUUUAUGGAGAGUUUGAUCCUGGCUCAGGAUGAACGCUGGCGGCGUGCCUAAUACAUGCAAGUCGAGCGAACGGACGAGAAGCUUGCUUCUCUGAUGUUAGCGGCGGACGGGUGAGUAACACGUGGAUAACCUACCUAUAAGACUGGGAUAACUUCGGGAAACCGGAGCUAAUACCGGAUAAUAUUUUGAACCGCAUGGUUCAAAAGUGAAAGACGGUCUUGCUGUCACUUAUAGAUGGAUCCGCGCUGCAUUAGCUAGUUGGUAAGGUAACGGCUUACCAAGGCAACGAUGCAUAGCCGACCUGAGAGGGUGAUCGGCCACACUGGAACUGAGACACGGUCCAGACUCCUACGGGAGGCAGCAGU
Molecule: ribosomal RNA, 366 nt
Filed under: Staphylococcus aureus
Lineage: Bacteria; Bacillati; Bacillota; Bacilli; Caryophanales; Staphylococcaceae
Description: bacterial SSU rRNA
Rfam family: Bacterial small subunit ribosomal RNA
Source: RNAcentral